Molecule: ribosomal RNA, 468 nt
Filed under: uncultured bacterium
Lineage: Bacteria
Description: partial 16S ribosomal RNA
Rfam family: Bacterial small subunit ribosomal RNA
Source: RNAcentral
GACGAACGCUGGCGGCGUGCUUAACACAUGCAAGUUGAACGGAAAGGCCCUGCUUUUGUGGGGUGCUCGAGUGGCGAACGGGUGAGUAACACGUGAGUAACCUGCCCUUGACUUUGGGAUAACUUCAGGAAACUGGGGCUAAUACCGGAUAGGAGCUCCUGCUGCAUGGUGGGGGUUGGAAAGUUUCGGCGGUUGGGGAUGGACUCGCGGCUUAUCAGCUUGUUGGUGGGGUAGUGGCUUACCAAGGCUUUGACGGGUAGCCGGCCUGAGAGGGUGACCGGCCACAUUGGGACUGAGAUACGGCCCAGACUCCUACGGGAGGCAGCAGUGGGGAAUAUUGCACAAUGGGCGGAAGCCUGAUGCAGCAACGCCGCGUGCGGGAUGACGGCCUUCGGGUUGUAAACCGCUUUCGCCUGUGACGAAGCGUGAGUGAGGGUAAUGGGUAAAGAAGCACGGGCUAACUAGGUG